UACGUAGGUGGCAAGCGUUGUCCGGAUUUAUUGGGCGUAAAGGGUGCGUAGGCGGUCUAUUAAGUCAGUGCUGAAAUAUCCCGGCUUAACCGGGAGGGUGGCAUUGAUACUGAUGGACUUGAGUGGAGUUGAGGUAGGCGGAAUUGACGGUGUAGCGGUGAAAUGCUUAGAUAUCGUCAAGAACACCAAUAGCGAAGGCAGCUUACUGAGCUCUAACUGACACUGAUGCACGAAAGUGUGGGGAUCAAACAGG
This 253-nucleotide ribosomal RNA is filed under the name uncultured bacterium. RNAcentral describes it as "partial 16S ribosomal RNA". It matches the Rfam family "Bacterial small subunit ribosomal RNA", at positions 524 to 776 of the family's 1533-position model. The record is from RNAcentral.